GGGGUCGUAGCCCAAUAGGCAGAGGCACCAGUCUUAGGAACUGGACAGUGCGAGUUCGAGUCUCGCCGGCCCCA
RNAcentral lists this transfer RNA (74 nucleotides) under Actinomadura logoneensis. It matches the Rfam family "tRNA". Rfam says of the family: Transfer RNA (tRNA) molecules are approximately 80 nucleotides in length. Their secondary structure includes four short double-helical elements and three loops (D, anti-codon, and T loops). The record is from Rfam by way of RNAcentral. Lineage: Bacteria; Bacillati; Actinomycetota; Actinomycetes; Streptosporangiales; Thermomonosporaceae.